AGUAAUUUACUGGAAAGGAAGUUGAAUGGCUGAUGGAUAAAUAAUUCUAUUUUACACGUAAAAUGUAUACGCAUUUUCACAUAAAAUAGGAUUAGUCUGCCCAUUUAUACUUCCUUUAGCGAACUUAAAGGCUUAUUUACGUAUGAAUACUAAUCCUUCUGACUUUUUCAGAAGGAUUUUUUU
RNAcentral lists this small RNA (183 nucleotides) under Solibacillus silvestris StLB046. RNAcentral describes it as "Bacillus sRNA ncr1575". It matches the Rfam family "Bacillus sRNA ncr1575". Lineage: Bacteria; Bacillati; Bacillota; Bacilli; Caryophanales; Caryophanaceae. The record is from Rfam by way of RNAcentral.